Heterocephalus glaber (naked mole-rat) is the source of this 255-nucleotide long non-coding RNA. NCBI's taxonomy places the organism in Eukaryota, Metazoa, Chordata, Mammalia, Rodentia, Bathyergidae. The record is from Ensembl.
CCCUCCCUGGCUUCCACAGCAGAGGGGUGUCCCGGGCUGGCGGAAAUGAAGCUGCUGUGCACAUCUCUGGAACAUCUCGGGGGUCUCGCUAUGUGCUUCAGGCUGGCCUUGAACUCUCGGUGAUCCUCCUGCCUCAGCCUCCAGAGUACUGGGAUGACGGAUGUGUGCCACCACACCGGCUUUUAGUUUUCUUUUCCUUUUUUCUCUUUAAUUUGGAGACAGGGUCUCAGUAAGUUGCUCAGGCUAGGUCUGAAC